UUUCCGUAGGUGAACCUGCGGAAGGAUCAUUAAAGAAUGUCCCGUUUUUCGUACUGGUUUCUAUUCCAAAACCGCGUCUACAUACCUUUGUUGCUUUGGCGGGCCGCCUUCCGUCGUUGGCCUCGGCUCAUAUUGCCCGCAAGAGGACCCUAACUUGUUUUGUUUAGUGAUGACUUAGUACUAUAAAAUAGUUAAAACUUUCAACAACGGAUCUCUUGGUUCUG
This 224-nucleotide unclassified non-coding RNA is filed under the name plant metagenome. RNAcentral describes it as "partial contains small subunit ribosomal RNA, internal transcribed spacer 1, and 5.8S ribosomal RNA". The record is from RNAcentral.